This 74-nucleotide transfer RNA is filed under the name Lysobacter defluvii IMMIB APB-9 = DSM 18482. RNAcentral's name for it is "tRNA-Cys". It matches the Rfam family "tRNA". From Rfam's summary of the family: Transfer RNA (tRNA) molecules are approximately 80 nucleotides in length. Their secondary structure includes four short double-helical elements and three loops (D, anti-codon, and T loops). Further hydrogen bonds mediate the characteristic L-shaped molecular structure. tRNAs have two regions of fundamental functional importance: the anti-codon, which is responsible for specific mRNA codon recognition, and the 3' end, to which the tRNAs corresponding amino acid is attached (by aminoacyl-tRNA synthetases). tRNAs cope with the degeneracy of the genetic code in two manners: having more than one tRNA (with a specific anti-codon) for a particular amino acid; and 'wobble' base-pairing, i.e. permitting non-standard base-pairing at the 3rd anti-codon position. The record is from RNAcentral. Lineage: Bacteria; Pseudomonadati; Pseudomonadota; Gammaproteobacteria; Lysobacterales; Lysobacteraceae.
GGCCUGAUGGCAGAGUGGUUAUGCAGCGGACUGCAAAUCCGCGUACGCCGGUUCGAUUCCGACUCAGGCCUCCA